This 494-nucleotide ribosomal RNA is filed under the name uncultured bacterium. RNAcentral's name for it is "partial 16S ribosomal RNA". It matches the Rfam family "Bacterial small subunit ribosomal RNA", at positions 28 to 507 of the family's 1533-position model. The record is from RNAcentral.
GACGAACGCUGGCGGCGUGCUUAACACAUGCAAGUCGAACGGUGAAGCGCCUUCCUUUUUGGUGGGUGUGGAUGAGUGGCGAACGGGUGAGUAACACGUGAGUAACCUGCCCCCUUCUUCUGGAUAACCGCAUGAAAGUGUGGCUAAUACGGGAUAUUCUGGGUCUGUCGCAUGAUGGGUCUGGGAAAGAUAUUGUUUCGGUGGGGGAUGGGCUCGCGGCCUAUCAGCUUGUUGGUGGGGUGAUGGCCUACCAAGGCGGUGACGGGUAGCCGGCCUGAGAGGGUGGACGGUCACACUGGGACUGAGACACGGCCCAGACUCCUACGGGAGGCAGCAGGGGGGAAUAUUGCACAAUGGGCGCAAGCCUGAUGCAGCGACGCCGCGUGAGGGAUGGAGGCCUUCGGGUUGUGAACCUCUUUCGCCAGUGAAGCAGGCCUGCCUCGUUUGUGGGUGGGUUGACGGUAGCUGGAGAAGAAGCGCCGGCUAACUACGUG